UACGGGGGGGGCAAGCGUUGUUCGGAAUUACUGGGCGUAAAGGGUUUGUAGGUGGCUUGCUAAGUCAGACGUGAAAUCCCUCAGCUUAACUGGGGAACUGCGUCUGAGACUGGCAAGCUCGAGUGCAGGAGAGGAACGCGGAAUUCCAGGUGUAGCGGUGAAAUGCGUAGAUAUCUGGAGGAACACCGGUGGCGAAGGCGGCGUUCUGGACUGCAACUGACACUGAGGAACGAAAGCCAGGGGAGCAAACGGG
This 253-nucleotide ribosomal RNA is filed under the name uncultured bacterium. RNAcentral describes it as "partial 16S ribosomal RNA". It matches the Rfam family "Bacterial small subunit ribosomal RNA", at positions 524 to 776 of the family's 1533-position model. The record is from RNAcentral.